RNAcentral lists this ribosomal RNA (805 nucleotides) under uncultured Bacteroidota bacterium. RNAcentral describes it as "bacterial SSU rRNA". It matches the Rfam family "Bacterial small subunit ribosomal RNA", at positions 541 to 1355 of the family's 1533-position model. The record is from RNAcentral. Lineage: Bacteria; Pseudomonadati; Bacteroidota.
ACGUUCGGAUUUUGGGUUAAGGGUCCGUAGGCGGGAAGAUAAGUCAGUGGUGAAAUCCUGCAGCUCAACUGUAGAACUGCCAUAGAAACUGUUUUUCUUGAAUAGCGAUGAAGCAGCCGGAAUGUGUAGUGUAGCGGUGAAAUGCAUAGAUAUUACACAGAACACCAAUUGCGAAGGCAGGUUGCUAAACGCCGAUUGACGCUGAGGGACGAAAGCGUGGGGAGCGAACAGGAUUAGAUACCCUGGUAGUCCACGCCGUAAACGAUGGAUACUCGCUGUCGGGGCUACGGUUUCGGUGGCUAAGUAAAAGUAAUAAGUAUCCCACCUGGGGAGUACGACCGCAAGGUUGAAACUCAAAGGAAUUGACGGGGGCCCGCACAAGCGGUGGAGCAUGUGGUUUAAUUCGAUGAUACGCGAGGAACCUUACCGGGGCUUAAAUGGGAAUUGACAGAGGUAGAAAUAUCUUUUUCUUCGGACAAUUUUCAAGGUGCUGCAUGGUUGUCGUCAGCUCGUGCCGUGAGGUGUCAGGUUAAGUCCUAUAACGAGCGCAACCCUCAUCAUUAGUUGCCAGCGUUUAAAGACGGGAACUCUAAUGAGACUGCCGGUGCAAACCGCGAGGAAGGUGGGGAUGACGUCAAAUCAUCACGGCCCUUACGUCCCGGGCCACACACGUGCUACAAUGGCCGGUACAGAGGGCAGCUACACAGCGAUGUGAUGCGAAUCUCGAAAGCCGGUCUCAGUUCGGAUUGGAGUCUGCAACUCGACUCUAUGAAGCUGGAAUCGCUAGUAAUCGCACAUCAGCCAU